CUACCGUCCAUUUCCCUCAGACUGCCAAGCAGCAGACAACGUGACAGUGCUGGCUGCAGAAGCUGGAUAGAAAUGGUGAGUUUUUAAUUAUUGGACUAGCUUCUAAUGUAAAACAGUGCUUUUUACGUUUACUUUGAUACUAUUAAUAUAUGUACUGCCAUAUAAAAUGAGCUGUUGCAAUGUGCUAAACUCAACUUAGAUGGGAAGCUAAUGUUAGCUAACAAUAAGCAAGCAUGUGCAACUAGCACCACAAAUAGUGCUGUUAAGUUUACUUUGAUACUAUUUUCAUAUGUACUGCCAUAUAAAAUGAGCUGUUGCAAUGUGUUAAACUCAACUUAAAUGGACAGCUAAUGUUAGCUAACAAUAAGCAAGCAUGUGCAAGCAGCAGCAUGUGCACGCGUUGUGAAAUAGAAUGCUGGACAGCUAAUUAGUUAUUUAUUAUAUACUAUAUAAAUAUAUUCAUGUUUUAUCAAUAUCUUUUCACACAGAAUGUGAAUAUUAUGCUCAACAAAGGGAGUGUAAUACUUAAUCUGCGUUAAGACCUGGAUUAUAACUAAUUUCCCUUUAACCAUUUUAAGUAUCCUUACGGUGGCUUUUGGGCCUAUAACACUUAAUAAGCAGUUUUCCAUUUGCCCAAAGAGUGAUUGUAAUAUCUACCCAUGUAUAAAUAGGCAUUUUAAUUCAGAUUGUCAUAGGUAUUGAGAUAGAUAAUAUAAUGUUUGUCGUUAAGAACAGAAGUAGAUGUUACUAUAAUGCAUUCCAUAACAGAUAAACUUAAUGCAUUUCAGUAAAAAUAAAAAAAAAGAGUACUGUAAUGAGUUGGAUGUAUAGCUUUGGCUGAAUGUGUCCCUUGUGCUUUUAGGAGGAUGGAGCAUGUUUGCCAUCCAGUAGUGACAGCUCGAAGUGCACAGAUGCUGAUGUCGGAGAAAUGAAGGAGCCUUUGACCGUGAACAUACUAACCAGGUAGUUCCGAUGAAAAGAUGCUGCUGGCUGGAGAGGUCUGGUGAAUCUCACACAAAAAAGGGUCACCACAAACAAAGAAGAAGUGGACCAAAGAGGAAAUCGAAGCUGUUGAAAGGACCUUAAUGGACUACAUCAAUGGUGGUCAGUGGUCAGAAAUGCAUCACAACAUCGUCACUGGCCGAUCAAGGGAUGAGUUGUCAAAAUAUAUAUUAAAAACUGAAUUUAAAAGAAUUAAAAAAAAGGUAAGCCGCAUUUUCAUCAGAUGGAAGAUUAAAUUCCUGGUGGACUGCCAGCACGUUUACAGACAUUGUUUACAGUAGUCUUAUUGCUCUCUGUUAUUGUUAUAUUUAUAUAAUAUUUGAAAGUUGAAAUGUUGUGCACUG
Long non-coding RNA from Pungitius pungitius (ninespine stickleback), 1346 nucleotides. RefSeq lists it as uncharacterized. The record is from RefSeq and is a predicted model, not a curated record. The transcript is spliced from 4 exons. NCBI's taxonomy places the organism in Eukaryota, Metazoa, Chordata, Actinopteri, Perciformes, Gasterosteidae.